Molecule: ribosomal RNA, 497 nt
Filed under: uncultured bacterium
Lineage: Bacteria
Description: partial 16S ribosomal RNA
Rfam family: Bacterial small subunit ribosomal RNA
Source: RNAcentral
GAUGAACGCUGGCGGCGUGCCUAAUACAUGCAAGUCGAGCGAACAGACGCGGAGCUUGCUCCUCUGACGUUAGCGGCGGACGGGUGAGUCACACGUGGAUAACCUACCUAUCAGACUGGGAUAACUUCGGGAAACCGGAGCUAAUACCGGAUAAUAUCUUGAACCGCAUGGUUCAAUAGUGAAAGACGGUUUUGCUGUCACUAAUAGAUGGAUCUGCGCCGCAUUAGCUAGUUGGUAAGGUAACGGGUUACCAAGGCUACGAGGCGUAGCCGACGUGUGAGGGUGGUCGCCGACACUGGAGCGUGGACACGGACCAGACGCCUACGGGACGCAGCAGUAGGGAAUCGGCCGCAAUGGGCGAAAGCUUGACGGAGCAACGCCGCGUGAGUUAUGAAGGUCUUCGGAGCGGAAUGCUCUGUUAUUAGUGAAGAACAAAUGUGUAAGUAACUAUGCACGUCUUGACGGUACCGAAUCAGAAAGCCACGGCUAACUACGUG